Molecule: ribosomal RNA, 253 nt
Filed under: uncultured bacterium
Lineage: Bacteria
Description: partial 16S ribosomal RNA
Rfam family: Bacterial small subunit ribosomal RNA
Source: RNAcentral
UACAGAGGGGGCAAGCGUUGUUCGGAAUUACUGGGCGUAAAGAGUGCGCAGGCGGUCGUUCAAGUCGAGUGUGAAAGCCCCCGGCUCAACUGGGGAGGGUCACUCGAUACUGAUCGACUUGAAGGCAGGAGAGGGAAGCGGAAUUCCCGGUGUAGUGGUGAAAUGCGUAGAUAUCGGGAGGAACACCAGUGGCGAAGGCGGCUUCCUGGCCUGUUCUUGACGCUGAGGCGCGAAAGCUAGGGGAGCAAACGGG